UCUCCGUAGUCCAUAUGUGUUCUCUCUCUAGAACUCUCUGUCUCUUCUCUCUCUCGUAUCUUCUUCUCCUUUCUAAUAAACGUAUUUUUUUUCUUUUUUCUUUACCUCCCAAACCACCGAUCUGUACUGUGAUUCAACUCCUUCACAACCCAGCCUUAGCACCGAUCUCUCUCUACGAAUCCAGAUCAACAAAAAAAUUUGAAACCCAAGAACAUUUGCAGCCGAUCUGCAUGAGAGAAGAGCCAGAAAAAAAAAAUGGAGCUCAAGUCCGUAUAUGUUCUUUCUCUCUGGAACUCUCUGUAUCUCUUCUCUCUCUCUCUUCUCUCUAUCAUUUCAAGAUGACAGGACCAGAUCGGCCCGGGAAGAAAGAAAGAAAAAAAAAAAAACAUGGGAAGAAACACCGAGUAAUUUUUACAGUGUUCUUUCUGUGGAGUAGGAUUAGAAUGCCUUUUUGGUUGUUGGAGGUAAGGAGAUUAGAGGCUCUAUCUUUGAUUUGAAGGGGCCCUGUGGUUUACCCCGAGCCUUGGUGAGUCGGGGUAUUGGCUAAAAAUCCACUGAGGUCCUUGAGAUGGCACGAGUCAUCAAGUAGAGGUUUGUGAUUCCAAGGCUGCAGAGCAAGAGAUUGUUCUUGAGAAGUUCGAUGUUUUAAGGGAUUGAAGACCAACAUUACCAAAGAGCUCAAUGCCAGGCACAAAAAGCAGUUUUCUAUGGCUCCCACUAAAGGAUAUGUCACUUUUGUUACAUAAAGCUAGCGAUUAUGGACUCUGGCUAUGAUUUGUUGAGCUUCUUUGAGUUGUGAAACUGAAGCUCUCUCUCUUUCCAAAGAGUACCGAUCACACAUGCAGCAGAACAACAUCCUGAUGAGGUCAGAUUUUCAAGGUUCGAGGACAUGAAAGCAAAUGUCCAUAAGAUGACAUUCACGCAUAACCCAACCUACCCAUCCUUUAUAUCAAACUCCAGUGGUGUUGUUCAUCUCAUAAUCUCACGCGUCGGACACGGUUGAGAGAAGAACCCAUCCAAGCAAAGACCUAGCACCACCGACACCCUCAUCUCUCACCUGCGCCGACAUCAGUCAGUUCAUCAACUCCGACCUCUGCCCAGUAAUGCUGUUUGUAGGCGAUGGGUCUUCAGGAUAUGGAGGCAGAAGUAUAGAGAAGGAAAAGGAAAAGAAAAAACCACAAACCUUUCUCUUAGAUUCGGUGUGUGUGUCUGUGGAGAUAGGAAGACAAAACAAUGUUUUGGGUGAAAGGAGAGAGAAGAGGACAUGCGCGAGAGAAAACCAACCUUCUGACUUGUGCAGGCUGUGGGCUCCACCAAAAAGUGAAAAAAUUGAGUACUGAGUUGUGGGGCACGGUUUUGAGAUAUUGGAGCCAAACAAAAAUUCAGUUUUGGGUUUUGAGUGAGAUAGAGUUUUGAGAAAUGAGUGAUGUUUUUGAGUUAUGAGUUUUGAGAUACUUCCAAUUCAAACACACUUUAAGUGUCUUCCUUAGUCUAGCAUCUUCCUCAGUUUCCUCAGUCCCUUGCUCAGUCCCUCCUCAGUUUCCUCUGUCCCUCGUCUUUCUUAGUCCUCCUCAAUUUCCUCAAUCCCUCGUCUUUCUUAGUCCUCCUCAAUUUUCUCUCUUCGUGUCUUUUAUUUGCUCCGCCACCGUGUCAUCCCUUACCUCUUGCUCAAUGGACGACGGCCUCUCAACGACAGUGACAAGUGGGCGGCACUCCAUUAGAAAACAAGGCAAGCUUGAAUAAUUUGUGAAAUUUUUUUACUGUACUUAUUUGUGAAAUUUUGUUAGGGUUUUGUUGUCUUUUUCCUAUCUUUUAUUUCUAUCUGAUAUGACAUAAAAACUUUUUGUAGCAUGAUGGUAGAUCUGUGUCAUCCUCCAACCUCUAGUUCCGACCACAUCACUUCCCCUUUGUUUGUUUAGAAUUUGCUUGUCCGCAUACUCAAACCUUGACCCUAACCCAGCCUCAUGCAAAAUAUUUACCCACCUUUUCCCCAUCUUGCGCUUCACCUACCAAGGGCCCUUUUUAGGCCGAUUAGCCAACCCUAAUGUUAGGCAAUGGAUAUGGAACUCGAUCACACUAAUGUCUUUAUCAAUCAUCCAUUAACAAUGGACAUUAACAUUCGAGCUAAUGUUUUUCCACCUUUCGAACACCCUCGUCCUAACCUUCAUUAUAGGUUCAUGUAUCCAGUGCUUGUAAGUUUUUAUGAUUUUUUUUGGCUGUAUAUUUGGUCAGAAAUUCAGGUGAAAACAGGUCAUAAAAACCUACAGGCAUUGGAUACAUGGACCUAUAAUGAAGGUUAGGCCGAGGGUGGUCGAAAAGGUGGAAAACCCGGUCGCACAAUAUCAGCUCGAAUGUCAAUAUCCAUGGUUAAUGGAUUGAUAAAGACAUUAGUGAGAUCGAGUUCCAUAUUCACUGCUUGAGCCCAUAAUAGAAACCUAUUUGGGUUGAUGUGAUAUUCACUAAAAAAACCUAUAAACUACGUCUAGGAUUUUAUCAUUAUUUACCUAGUAUGCCCUAUCAUGGUAGGGAGGGUUUAAACCCAGGAUAACAUUGGGGUUGCCUAAUUGGCCUAAAAAAUACCCUUGGUGGGGCGCAAGGGUGAGAUGGGGAAAAGGUGGGCAAAUAAUUUGCAUGAGGUUGGGUUAGGGUUUGAGUAUGGGGACGGGCAAAUUCUAAACAAACAAAGGGGAAGUGCUGUGGUCGGAACUAGAGGUUGGAGGAAGACAUAGAUCUACCAUCAUGUUGCAAAAAGUUUUUAUGUCAAAUCAGAUAGAAAUAAAAGAGAGGAAAAAGACAACAAAAUUUCACAAAUAAGUAUGGUAAAAAUUUCAAAAAUUAUUCGAGCUUGCCUUGUUUUCUAAUGGUGUGCUGCCCGUUUGUCACCGUCGUUGAGAGGCCGUUGUCCAUUGAGCAAUAGGUAAGGGAUGACACGGUGACAGAGCAAAUAAAAGACACGAAGAGAGACGAGGGACUGGGGAGGACUAAGAAAGACGAGGGACGGAGGAAACCGAGCAAGGGACUGAGGAAGACGCUGGACUAAGGAAGAUGCUUAGAGGGUGUUUGGAUUGGAAGUAUCUCAUAACUCAAAACACAUAAAUCAAAAACAUCACUCAUUUUUCAGGUCUAUAAAUUUGACUUUUUAAGUAAUACUCCUGGAGAGCUUUAUUCUGGAUUUGGUCUUUUGCUUGAGACAAAGCUUGAUGAUGAUGUGGGAAAUAUUGAAUUGGAGCUUUACUUGGUCUCAAAGAAGGUUAAGUCUUCUGUAUCUUUUUGUGGGCAAGUGCAUUUGGAUGAAGAACAGAUGACAAAUUUCAAGAAUUUUUCUUUAAUGGAUUUUUUGGGAGACUGUUUUUUGGAUCCAAAUCAGUUGGAACAUGCAGAGAAUUUUGACUUAAGAAUGAAACUAAAUCACUAUGGAGCCCAUCAAAUAUGUAUUUGCUUCUACCUACAUUGAACACUUCAAGUCCUCAGCCUUGCCAAAUAAAUUGGAUGGACAUCAAUUCUUGCAUUUCUGUGGUAGAAAUCAUGAAAAAAAGCCCUUUUUUGGGUGCUGAAAAUUGUAAUAGUGAGAUAGGAAAUUUAUCACCUUAUAGAAAUGGUUCAUACAGCACUAAUGUUAUCCACUUUGCUUAUAGUAUGGCUAACAUAAACAACCUCAAGGAUAUGAUAGUUUUGGCAGUUCACACUGGAAAAAUAUACUCCGUUGUUGAGGUUGUGAAUAAUACCUCUGUUGAGAGUCCUUUUGAUGGAAACACUGACAAUGCCUCAUCAAAAUAUAUGACAUUUUCAGAGUACUUCAACAAAAAGUAAGUGAUUUCUUAUCCUGAAUGAUGUUUUGAGCUUAUUGUGUAUUUUUCCCUUUGGAUUCCUCUAUAUAGUUCCAUAGAUAGCUCCUGUCCUGAUCAGGUAUGGGAUACCACUGAUGUAUCCAGGACAGCCUUUGUUGCGGUUAAAGCAAAGUCAUAAACCACACAACCUUCUUGUAAACUUUGAUGAGGAAGGCCUUACUGGUAAGACAUUGGAAGCAGGUGUGCUUGUCAAAAAGGCGCAAAUGCAUGUUCAUAUGCCUCCUGAACUUUUGAUCAGGCUUGAUGUUUCCAGAGGAGUUUUAAGAUCAUUUUAUUUAUGUUAGGAAUGCUAUAAGCAUAUGGAUAAUAAUUGUUGUAUUGAGAUUUAGUUAAUUAGUUAGUUAGUUAGUUAGUUAGUUAGUUACAAUUCCAAGCAUGUUAAUCACAUUUAGCACAUGUUGGAAUUAUUAAUGCACAUGGGGAAUAAUAAAACCAAUAGGAUAAGGCCAUGUGGGCCAAUGAGAUUAGAGCUAGUCUCCUAUAAAUACAUGAUUGUAAUUCAACAUUAGAUAUCAAUGAAGAAUAAACCAAUUUGUUAGUGUAUUAGUGCAUUUCUCUCUCUUAAUCUCUCUCUUUCUCUAUGGAGGGUGACUACCUCGAAUUAAGUCAAUUUCCCUACAAUCCCCAUCCAUUCCCCUAUAAUUCCCAUCAAUCCCCAUUAGGAACCAUCGGGUUCCUAACAAAUGGUAUCAGAGCCGUUGAUCCAGUGACAAGCAAUUGUGAUGAAAGAAAAAUUUUGAAAAAAAUACAAGAAUUGUUGAACAAAGCUUUAGAAGAAUCCAAGGAGAUUUCAAAGAAGAUGAAGGCCUUGGAUGAAUCUAACAUGGCCAUGAAGGAGGAGCUCUCAAGAUUGCAAGAGGGUCUCGAGAACAUGACGGAAGAGGAGUUACAAUCUCUUGAUUCAAUGAAACUCGAAGAACAAAUCAAGUUCCAAGAAUCUACUACUGUUGUUGCAAGCCGAGAUGUUGAUUUUUGUGUCAAAGUGGAUGAUGAUAUACAUGUACAUGUUGCCCUUGAAGUUCAGUCGAAAGAAUCAACAAAGAAGGUGAUGAUGAUCCUCCAAGAACCCAUUCUUGAUGCACCAAUGGAGGCUUCCAUUCAAGAGUCUAUGAUUCAAGAAUUGGCAAUCCAAGUGUCGGUGAUCCAAGAAUCCAAGAUACAAGCUCCAAGAAUUCUAAUGGUUCUAGAAUCAAAUGAGGUCUUGAGGAUACUAGAACAUUUCAAGGUUCAAAAAACCAAUGAGACCUUGAAGAUUGAAGAACCAUUGAAGGCUCAAGAAUUUGAGCAAAGUUUGAAAGAAGAAACCUUCAUGUGCACUGGACCGCUUGUCAAAGAGAAAUGCAUGAAUAUGGUGAUCAAAAUGUCACUACGGUAUUGGUCCAUUGGAAGAUCUCCUUUGAUGAAGAUGCUAUUUCACAACAACACCUUGUGGGCAAGGUGUUUUCAAGGGGAGGGAAAUGUUAGGAAUGCUAUAAGCAUAUGGAUAAUAAUUGUUGUAUUGAGAUUUAGUUAAUUAGUUAGUUAGUUAGUUAGUUAGUUAGUUACAAUUCCAAGCAUGUUAAUCACAUUUAGCACAUGUUGGAAUUAUUAAUGCACAUGGGGAAUAAUAGAACCAAUAGGAUAAGGCCAUGUGGGCCAAUGAGAUUAGAGCUAGUCUCCUAUAAAUACAUGAUUGUAAUUCAACAUUAGAUAUCAAUGAAGAAUAAACCAAUUUGUUAGUGUAUUAGUGCAUUUCUCUCUCUUAAUCUCUCUCUUUCUCUAUGGAGGGUGACUACCUCGAAUUAAGUCAAUUUCCCUACAAUCCCCAUCCAUUCCCCUAUAAUUCCCAUCAAUCCCCAUUAGGAACCAUCGGGUUCCUAACAAUUUAUUACCAUCUGUGAUGCACUGGCUGGAACCCCUUAUGUUAGCCAGCCAGCUUAGAGAAGAGAUUUGUUUUUCUAGCAACUUUCAUAUUUCAAGCGAUUUGAUUCUAGAAGCUCUUACAACACUAAGAUGUUCUGAGAAUUUUUCAAUGGAGCGUUUGGAAUUACUUGGUGAUUCAGUUCUAAAUUAUGCAGUGGGCUAUCACCUCUUUCUUAAAAAUCCUGAGAAACAUGAAGGGCAAUUAAAUGAUAUACGUAAAAGGGUUAUUUGUAAUGCAACCCUACAUAAAUUGGGAACAGAUCGCAAAUUACAGACCUGUCAAACCCCAAUACAUCCAAUAACCCCAACCAGCCUUUUGGAUUCAAUCUGCUGGUCAAUGUCCGAGCCAACUUUGACUGUUUCUAUUUGCACACUCUUUCAGUGUUGAUGGUACAAGUGAACAUCCCUCAUCUUUAUUCCUAGAUGCAAAAGGGGAUGGCAAGGAUUCAGAAGCUUUAUUUACGAACGUAACCCAGCCACUUACAGAAAGUGAGGAAUCCAAAUUGAUAUUUAAAUACCAUUUUCUUACCAUACUGCUUCCCAUUGACCGACUUGCUGAGAUGGGGCCUUCAAGAACGUUUUUCAGCGAUAAUGGCUUUACAUGUUUGCAAUUGUUAGAUCAUAUCUAUGCAUUUUAUCAGGAGAACAUGUCUGUCCACGAAAUAGAGGCUGCAAUUCACACUGAUUCAAGGCAUGCAGACCAGCUGCGGUCAGUGUACUCUAGUAGAGAAACAUCAGAAUGUGGUUAUGUGGUUUUUAAACGGAUUGAUAUCUUAGAAAGCUGCAAAAGUUUUGAAGUCUUGAAGCGUGUCAAUGGGGACAACAACAGUAACGUAUACGAGCUGUUGGUCAGGGCAUGAUGUCAUCUUUUCUUUGGCUAAUCCCUUUCCCAUGUUUUAGUUUUGAUUCAGUGGCAGUUAAAUGGCCUAGCUGAACGAUUUGUUCCAGGUCAAGAUGCAUUCAACCUUGCUUCUUUGAGAUAUCAAGAAGAAUGGUAAAGGUUUCUUCAAUUUUAUAGAACACUUAAGAAUAUAUGAUUUGCAUUUACUAAGCACAGUGAAUGGUAAAUGAGUGAAAUAUUUACUAAUAGUCUUUUUGUUCAAAGCCUACAGAUUGAUGGUAUACACCAAUUCAAAUGGCAGUGCCUUCAUACAGCAGCUUUGAAUUUCAGAUCCCUUGUACAUUGACAAUAUAUUUGAUGGUUAAGUUUCUUUUUUUACUUCAUUUGGCAAGUGUUGUAAAUGGUAAACGAGUGAAAUACUUGCAGAUAAUCUUUUUCUUCGUAACCCAUACCCAUUCAAGGGGCAGUGCCUUGAUACAGUAGGUUUGAAUUUAAGAUGGUUGAGAUGUUUUCAAA
This is an RNA transcript of Quercus robur (English oak), 7107 nucleotides long. RefSeq lists it as uncharacterized. NCBI's taxonomy places the organism in Eukaryota, Viridiplantae, Streptophyta, Magnoliopsida, Fagales, Fagaceae. The transcript is spliced from 16 exons. The record is from RefSeq and is a predicted model, not a curated record.